This 1003-nucleotide long non-coding RNA is filed under the name Ananas comosus (pineapple). Its description in RNAcentral is "long non-coding RNA (ACOM_LNC018529)". Lineage: Eukaryota; Viridiplantae; Streptophyta; Magnoliopsida; Poales; Bromeliaceae. The record is from RNAcentral.
GGCAAGAAACCCCAUGAAUGAUGAGGAAUUCUAUACUAUCAUACUUGCACUAUGUCAUCAAAUAACAAGUCAAUAACAUUUCUAUUUUUUAAACAAAAGUACAAUAAAAAUAUUUUUUUUACAAUCAUGAUGGGACAUAUACUCCUAAAAGGAGAUAUUUGAUUGGUUUGCUUCAUCAUGUCACCAAUAUACCGGUUGCAUUUUAGAAUUUUUUCUGAAUGAUUAAUAGAGCAUUCUUACUGGUACCCUAAAAUGUACCCCCAAGUCUCUCAUGAAUUAAGAUUAUACAAGUCUUUGCCAUCAGAGUGAAUGACAAAUAUAUUCUUAUAAAGUUUAAUUUUUAUAUAUUAUCCCUGCAGAAAGCUCUGGUGUCUGCAAAUAUGUCAUUCUGAUUUGUCACCGUUAGAGAAUCAUUAAAGAAUUAUUUAUUUUUUUAAUUUUACCAUCACAACUACGUCCUUCCAAAAAUCAUAACAACGUAAUAUAAGAGGGAUAAAAAUGUCAAAAACUAACAUGGUUAAGUAUUUAACCUAUAAUUAACUAAAUUUUUCUAGCGAAUUCUAACGAUAGGAUAUAUUUGAAAACAUCCGAAUUUUUGCAAGGACAGAAUAUGAAGUUGAACUUUGUGGGGAUAUAUUUGUCAUUCACUAUAUUUGCAGAGACAUAUAUGAAAUUAAUCCAAAAUUAUAUAAAAACGUACAGAACGAAUAUGAAUUAUGAACUAUUUUGAAUCAGUUAUUCAAUCUUUUAAAAUUUUAAUUUUACUAUCUAACAUUUUAAUUUGUUUGAUCCGAAUCAAUCAAUAAUUUUUUGAUUUUAAAAUUUAAGCUAAUUAUUUAUUUUAAUAAAUUUAUAAUUGUAAGCGAGAAUUAUAUGAAGCAUAAUAAUUAAAUCUGUAAAAAUAAACAAUAUAUUCAAAUUUUGAAGUCAAACAAAUUGAAAGAUGAGAAAGUAAGAUCAAAAUUUAAAAGGUUGAAUAGCGAUACCAAAAUAGUUCAUAGUU